Molecule: ribosomal RNA, 508 nt
Filed under: uncultured bacterium
Lineage: Bacteria
Description: partial 16S ribosomal RNA
Rfam family: Bacterial small subunit ribosomal RNA
Source: RNAcentral
GACGAACGCUGGCGGCGUGCCUAAUACAUGCCAGUCGAACGCUUCUUUCCUCCCGAGUGCUUGCACUCAAUUGGAAAGAGGAGCGGCGGACGGGUGAGUAACACGUGGGUAACCUACCCAUCAGAGGGGGAUAACACUUGGAAACAGGUGCUAAUACCGCAUAACAGUUUAUGCCGCAUGGCAUAAGAGUGAAAGGCGCUUUCGGGUGUCGUUGAUGGAUGGACCCGCGGUGCAUUAGCUAGUUGGUGAGGUAACGGCUCACCAAGGCCACGAUGCAUAGCCGACCUGAGAGGGUGAUCGGCCACACUGGGACUGAGACACGGCCCAGACUCCUACGGGAGGCAGCAGUAGGGAAUCUUCGGCAAUGGACGAAAGUCUGACCGAGCAACGCCGCGUGAGUGAAGAAGGUUUUCGGAUCGUAAAACUCUGUUGUUAGAGAAGAACAAGGACGUUAGUAACUGAACGUCCCCUGACGGUAUCUAACCAGAAAGCCACGGCUAACUACGUG